RNAcentral lists this ribosomal RNA (465 nucleotides) under uncultured bacterium. Its description in RNAcentral is "partial 16S ribosomal RNA". It matches the Rfam family "Bacterial small subunit ribosomal RNA", at positions 28 to 507 of the family's 1533-position model. The record is from RNAcentral.
GACGAACGCUGGCGGCGUGCUUAACACAUGCAAGUCGUACGGUAAGGCCCUUUCGGGGGUACACGAGUGGCGAACGGGUGCGUAACACGUGAGUAACCUGCCCACAACUUUGGGAUAACGCUAGGAAACUGGUGCUAAUACUGGAUAUGUGCUCCUGCUGCAUGGUGGGGGUUGGAAAGCUCCGGCGGUUGUGGAUGGACUCGCGGCCUAUCAGCUUGUUGGUGGGGUAGUGGCCUACCAAGGCGGCGACGGGUAGCCGGCCUGAGAGGGUGACCGGCCACAUUGGGACUGAGAUACGGCCCAGACUCCUACGGGAGGCAGCAGGGGGGAAUAUUGCACAAUGGGCGCAAGCCUGAUGCAGCAACGCCGCGUGCGGGAUGACGGCCUUCGGGUUGUAAACCGCUUUCAGCAGGGACGAAGCUUUUUGUGACGGUACCUGCAGAAGAAGCACCGGCUAACUACGUG